AUUUUGGCCCCUGUGGAUUUUUCAAAUAGGAAAGUUAUUGUGUAAUAAAAUUCAUUUUUAGACAGCUGAGUGCUAAUUUAGCCUUCAAAGAUGGUUUAUAAGAGCAUCAAGAUUAUUUUUUACAUGUUUUAUGGGCUGUUUUCUGUUUGACAAUCCGUAUUUUCAUAGCUAGACCGGCAAUCGCUCCAGAAAUUAAUGUAAUGUUUACAAACACUUUUUUUUUACACGAAGUUUUUGACGCAAUUUUACAAAAAAAUGAGAUGAAAGACAUAUGAUUUUCAUUGGAUUUGCUGAAUGAUAUAUGUACACAGUUUCAGAAAAGGUAUA
This 327-nucleotide long non-coding RNA is filed under the name Mytilus galloprovincialis (Mediterranean mussel). The record is from RNAcentral. Lineage: Eukaryota; Metazoa; Mollusca; Bivalvia; Mytilida; Mytilidae.